This 134-nucleotide small nucleolar RNA is filed under the name Jaculus jaculus (lesser Egyptian jerboa). Its description in RNAcentral is "Small nucleolar RNA SNORA42/SNORA80 family (ENSJJAG00000004755.1)". The record is from RNAcentral. Lineage: Eukaryota; Metazoa; Chordata; Mammalia; Rodentia; Dipodidae.
ACAUAGAUUUGGAGUUAUGACAGGCCUGUCACCCUGUUCUUCUCAUAGUGUGCCAUGCCAGAGCAAACAGUGGAACCCAACUGUUGCCUGCCAUCUCCCUACAGGCUGCUAGCAUAGAAGCAGAUUGUACAGUG